This 271-nucleotide unclassified non-coding RNA is filed under the name Hevea brasiliensis (rubber tree). Lineage: Eukaryota; Viridiplantae; Streptophyta; Magnoliopsida; Malpighiales; Euphorbiaceae. The record is from RNAcentral.
AUUCAGACAAAUUUCUAAGUUAAAGGGAUUAUGAUGAAUAAGGAUUUCAUUUAUUCAUUGACAACUUUAUUUAGAUUUAUAGUAUUAUAUAAAAUAAGGAUUUGGAGUUAUUUGGUGGCCAUGAUUAGAUGGAUAUAUGACUAAGUCUAAGAGUUGAAUUUAUGAAAUGAUUAUUUAUAUGGCUUCGUUAUUUUUCAAUUAUACAAGUUUAUUUUAUAUGAAUAGACUAAUAAAUUCAAGAUGAGUUUAUGAAAUAUUAAAUGGCUCCAAA